This is a long non-coding RNA of Calidris pugnax (ruff), 267 nucleotides long. RefSeq lists it as uncharacterized. The transcript has 3 exons. Lineage: Eukaryota; Metazoa; Chordata; Aves; Charadriiformes; Scolopacidae. The record is from RefSeq and is a predicted model, not a curated record.
UCAUAAGGGAGAUGCUCCAGGCCCCUCAUCACCUUUGUAGCCCUAAAUCAUAAAAACCCCAUCCACGGCUGCCCAGUGGGUCUGGUGAUUCGUCCAAGUCGGGUGCUGGUCGGGAUGAUCCAGAGGAACUGAACCUUGGGGCUUGGGGAGGAAGAAUGGCUUGGGGAAGAAUGGCUGGAGAGCUGCCUGGCAGAAAAGGACCUGGGGGUGUUGGUCGACUGUCGGCUGAACAGGAGACAGCAGUGUGCCCAGGUGGCCAAGAAGGCC